UACGUAGGGUGCAAGCGUUGUCCGGAAUUACUGGGCGUAAAGGGCUCGUAGGCGGCCAACUAAGUCAGACGUGAAAUCCCUCAGCUUAACUGGGGAACUGCGUCUGAUACUGGAUGGCUUGGAUUCGGGAGAGGAAUGCGGAAUUCCAGGUGUAGCGGUGAAAUGCGUAGAUAUCUGGAGGAACACCGGUGGCGAAGGCGGGUCUCUGGGCCGAUACUGACGCUGAGGAGCGAAAGCGUGGGGAGCGAACAGG
Molecule: ribosomal RNA, 253 nt
Filed under: uncultured bacterium
Lineage: Bacteria
Description: partial 16S ribosomal RNA
Rfam family: Bacterial small subunit ribosomal RNA
Source: RNAcentral